CGGGGAGUAGCGCAGCCUGGUAGCGCGCUUGCUUCGGGAGCAAGAGGGCGGGGGUUCAAAUCCCCUCUCCCCGA
Molecule: transfer RNA, 74 nt
Filed under: Pseudomonadota bacterium
Lineage: Bacteria; Pseudomonadati; Pseudomonadota
Also listed under: 2 other names
Description: Proteobacteria bacterium (marine sediment metagenome) tRNA-Pro
Rfam family: tRNA
About the family: Transfer RNA (tRNA) molecules are approximately 80 nucleotides in length.
Source: RNAcentral